AAGUUCAAGCAGGCAGAUCCAAUUUUCUGCCACCGAAUACAUUAGCAUGGGAUAAUGGAAUAGGACCCUGUCCUCCUAUUUUCAGUUGGUUUUGGCAGCGCGAGGACUAGGGUAAUGAUUAAUAGGGAUAGUUGGGGGCAUUAAUAUUUAAUUGUCAGAGGUGAAAUUCUUGGAUUUAUGAAAGAUUAACUUCUGCGAAAGCAUCUGCCAAGGAUGUUUUCAUUAAUCAAGAACGAAAGUUAGGGGAUCGAAGACGAUCAGAUACCGUCGUAGUCUUAACCAUAAACGAUGCCGACCAGCGAUUAGGAGACGUUGAAUACAAAACACCACCAUCGGUUGCGCGGUCAUCCUUGGCGUCUCGGUUUCGGCCGGGGCGCGGGGAUGGCUUAGCCCGGUGGCACCGGUGAAUGACUCCCCUAGCAGCUUGUGAGAAAA
This 435-nucleotide ribosomal RNA is filed under the name Acanthamoeba genotype T4. RNAcentral describes it as "SSU rRNA". It matches the Rfam family "Eukaryotic small subunit ribosomal RNA", at positions 771 to 1098 of the family's 1831-position model. The record is from RNAcentral. Lineage: Eukaryota; Discosea; Longamoebia; Acanthamoebidae.